GUGAGACAGGUGCUGCAUGGCUGUCGUCAGCUCGUGUUGUGAAAUGUUGGGUUAAGUCCCGCAACGAGCGCAACCCUUAUCCUUUGUUGCCAGCGGUCCGGCCGGGAACUCAAAGGAGACUGCCAGUGAUAAACUGGAGGAAGGUGGGGAUGACGUCAAGUCAUCAUGGCCCUUACGACCAGGGCUACACACGUGCUACAAUGGCGCAUACAAAGAGAAGCGACCUCGCGAGAGCAAGCGGACCUCAUAAAGUGCGUCGUAGUCCGGACUGGAGUCUGCAACUCGACUCCAUGAAGUCGGAAUCGCUAGUAAUCGUGGAUCAGAAUGCCACGGUGAAUACGUUCCCGGGCCUUGUACACACCGCCCGUCACACCAUGGGAGUGGGUUGCAAAAGAAGUAGGUAGCUUAACCUUCGGGAGGGCGCUUACCACUUUGUGAUUCAUGACUGGGGUGAAGUCGUAACAAGGUAACCGUAGGGGAACCUGCGGUUGGAUCACCUCCUUACCUGAAAGAA
This 514-nucleotide ribosomal RNA is filed under the name Salmonella enterica subsp. arizonae. RNAcentral's name for it is "bacterial SSU rRNA". It matches the Rfam family "Bacterial small subunit ribosomal RNA", at positions 1029 to 1533 of the family's 1533-position model. The record is from RNAcentral. Lineage: Bacteria; Pseudomonadati; Pseudomonadota; Gammaproteobacteria; Enterobacterales; Enterobacteriaceae.